AGGAAGGCGGGUCCCUGGCUCGGCUCUACCCCCAUGGAUCUAGGUGAAGUCGCUAGACAUUUGAGGAACACAUCCGGGGAAGAAGACACAGGUGGCUGGUCAUGGAGAGCCCGCUGGGGGAAGAGCACACAGACAGGCACCGGCAGGCCAUUGACCAGCGGGACAAGGUGGGCUCAAUGUCAUCACAAGGGUGCUUAAGAGGGAAAGAGGAAGCCAUGAGGGUCAGAGUCAAAGGAAGACUUGAAGAUACUACACUGCGGACUUUAAAGAUGAAGGAAGGGGCGAAAACCAAGAAUGUGGGAAGCCUCUAGAAGCUAGAGAAGGCAAGGAAACAAAUUUUCCACUAGAGCCUCCAGAAGGAACACAGCCCUGCUGACCCACUGUAAUGUCUGACCUCUAGAUGUGUAAGGGUAGUAAGACUGAAAGUCUCAGAAAGGCACUGUUAAAUUCUUAUUCCUCAACUAUGCAACUCAAAACUGGGGUCCUCAGCAGUGAGCGAGGGGUGAGAGAAGACACUGUAUAAACAUGGCACAUCCUCCUGGAAAGUCAACUUUACUCAAAGGUUUAGAAACCCAGCUCAAACUAGCUGAAGCAGAAAAGACAUUACUGCGCCUAUAAGUUGAAACUUUGGAGGGAUAAAUUUCAGAGGUGUGGCUAGAUCCAACGGCUCUCUGGAAAACUCUGUGAAAAAAAUGCUUCCUCAAGUCCAGAAACCAGAAGCUCAGGAAAUUGUUGCUUGGUUCCUCUUGUUAGAGGCAGAGAUUAUUCAACGACCUACAGGGUAGCGUUUGAACAUUGUUACCAGGAAUCUUUACUUUGCCAUCUUCCAAGUCUGUUCUCCUCAGUAUUGGUUUCAUUUACAAGCAGGCCAUCUCUGCCCUCAUGGCAAUGAUGGUCUUUACUCCAGGCUUAAGACCCUUACUAUCUACUAUUUCCAAAGCGGAGAGAGAACUUCCCACACCUAGUGACCUGUGACACAGGAUUUUAUCCUUCGUACAGAGGGAAUUCAGUUGGCUAACAUAAUCUGCCUUCCAAUGGAGUAAGAAUGUCUGGACUCUUUCCUUCACCUACCCCCAAGACAUGGAGGCGUCUAAAAGAUAAAUAAAACUUGGCAACUGACCGAAGGAGGAAGAGGGGAUUUCAGGCAAAAUCAACGCUGUUCACUACGAGGAGACUUCAGAAAGGUUGCCUGCUUCUGGGGAGCAUAGUCCCUGAUUCCUCAAGACAUACGUUUAUUCUUUUCUUCAAUGUCUUUGCCUGCAGUCAAAACAAAACCAUUACCUUUAGCCAAGUUCACACAUUUCAGCCAAAUCCAUAUGCAUCGGAUCAGUUCUGUAGGUUAUGGGUGAGCAUGAACAUAUAAAAGAGGCACCUGCCUGUGCCUAUCUACUCCAUGGAAUUUCAAAAGGGGCCACUUAUGGAGAAUGUCUUUAGGGACAGAACCAACCACCCUGUCUUUCCUCCAACUCUCAAAGUAACUUCUGGCUUUAAUCCUCAAGUGUCUAUGCUGGAGUUUAAGAAAAAUGUUUUUCAUAGAAUUCAUGUGUAUGAUAUUGCAUGAGUUGUCCAUCUUUGUAUAUAUCUCAAGACUUGUGGUGUUAGUUAAAGAUUCAGAGCUCUGUGUCCUGAACACAGAGUAAUACCAGCAUUACUAAGGAUGAUCGUGGGAUUUUAAAAUUCCUCCCUUAGAUAGAUCUUACGAACUUAUGUUACCAAUCAACAUAAGUUAAGACAAAAAGAGCAAAUUUAGAUGUAAAACCAUCUUGGGGCCAGGUGCUGUGGCUCACGCCUGUAAUCCCAGCACUUUGGGAGGCCGAGGCGGGCGGAUCACUAGGUCAGGAGAUCGAGACCAUCUUGGCCAACACGGUGAAACCCUGUCUCUACUAAAAAUACAAAAAAAUUAGCCGGGCAUGGUGGCAGGCGCCUGUAGUCCCAGCUACUAGGGAGGCUGAGGCAGGAGAAUGGUGUGAACCCUGGAAGCGGAGCUUGCAGUGAGCCAAGAUCAUGCCACUGCACUGCAGCUUGGGCGACAGAGCGAGACUCCGUCUCAAAAAAAACCAAACCAACAAACAAACAAACAAAAAAAAA
RNAcentral lists this long non-coding RNA (2088 nucleotides) under Homo sapiens (human). RNAcentral describes it as "HSALNT0055886". The record is from RNAcentral. Lineage: Eukaryota; Metazoa; Chordata; Mammalia; Primates; Hominidae.